Temnothorax curvispinosus is the source of this 2915-nucleotide long non-coding RNA. RefSeq lists it as uncharacterized. The record is from RefSeq and is a predicted model, not a curated record. NCBI's taxonomy places the organism in Eukaryota, Metazoa, Arthropoda, Insecta, Hymenoptera, Formicidae. The transcript has 3 exons.
GGAUGACGUCCGGACAGCGUCGGCGAUGGCGGCGGGUGGGAAGCGAGAGGCGGUUCAGCGGGGCGACGAGGGCUAGUUCGUGCUCCGCGCGAGCGGAGUAACGGAGAACGCGAAAGGGUCGAGAGAGAGAAAGAGAGAGAACGAUGCGACCGCGAGGCGAAGAAAGGGAGAGGAGAGGAGAAGAGAGAGAUCGGAAGGAGAGAUCAGAGAAUCAGCGAGGAUACGCAGUGGAAGAUGCGAGUCGCGUUCGUUCGAGGCUGACGGAGGCGCUGUUUUUCAAACGGAGACACGUUCGGUCUCCGUUGUCCUUCAGCAGAUUGGCUCCUCAAACAAAUCUAUAAUGCUUCGUCGAGAUUAUUACAAUUAGAAGUGGAAGACGACGAAGCGAUCGAGCUGUAGGUUCAAGGACGCGUUCGGCUUCUUGCGCAACGAUCGCGCGUGUCUGUAUAUACACUAUACAGACUGGAGCGUUGCCCUCUUCGAGACGUCUUAUGUCCCGAUUUUAGAUAUUGUGCUGCUUGGGCUUAUCUGAGGCUUAGCGAUGAUAGCCUUGACAGAAGCGUCUUCCUUCAGUUUGGACAGAUAUUAAUUCUCGCGUGUCACCCUUCCGCGCGCGCGCGCGCACGCUUCGUUUUCCUAAACUGCCCUAAAGGAACGAAAGCCGAGACGGGGGCGGGGGACCGAAACUGGAUUACGUACGCGAGUGCUUUUGUGACGCCGGAUCGAUCUUGCGUCGCGUACAAGUCAAAGGAAUCGGAAUUGUAUUUGCGACGUUUACGUUUCGACCAGGUUUCGACAGCUGUAAUUCGAUUCGCAACCAUUAUAAAUCCAGUAACUAGAAUACGAAGGACGGGAAACCGUGAACGCACACGUUAGAACACAACGCUAUCUAACGGGUGAUCAAAGUAUUCGUUGUGGUGUACUCUUCCGAAGAUUGAGAGCGUGAAGCAAUUAUUUCACUCAACUCGUGUUGAUAAUAAAAUAUCUUUAGAAAAGUAGAAUAGCGAAAUACACAUGCAAUAAUCGACGGCUUAGGUUUAAGUAAAUAUCUGCCGAAACAUGAUUUUGUUCUUUUUUUUUCUUUGGUAUCCCGUAUACGGUUAUAUUUAAGAUUAUUCUUGAAUGCUAUUUAUACCGCUAAUUGGCGAAAUUCAAAAGUUAUACUAUAAUUAAAUCUCAUUCAUGUUUCAUGUAUUUAAAGCCUUUAUCAACGUUAUUUCAGAUAUGCACAAUUUCGAAUUAAAUGUUUCAAAAUAUCUUAAUCUCUUAUUAGCGGCAUUUUAAUUAAGAAGAAUUAAUAUCGCGCAAUAUUUCCGUUCAGAAAAGUACUUGAAAUAUGUCAGAAGCAGGCGAUUAAAAAUUAUCACCUUAUCAGAUUGUAUGAUGGAGCGAUAGGUUUUAUUAAUUUGACGAAAUAUUUUUGUAAAAAUUACUUAAGUAACGAAUGUGCUGUUCGUAAUAAUAUAGAAUGUGUCAUACGGUUUCAAAUUUUCCAAAUCUGUUUAUAAAUGUACAAGUUAUCUGAUAUUUUAUUCGUCAAAUCUCGACUUGUGAUCAACGUUUGCUCGUUGCGACACAAUUUUGCGACGCAAUAAAAUUAAAUCACGAGAAAAUAACUCGACCUGAUAUAUAUAUAGAUAUAAUUAUAUGAUACAUUUCUUCGCAGUAUACGUUUUAUUUUAUUGUAUUGACGUAAAGCGUUAUCCACCUAAUCUUCGAUGAAUUUCUUUGACUCGAGAAUUAUAUGAAAUUAUUGCAGAGUUAUCGCAUAAUUACUUUCUACUCGCGCGAUAGUGGAUUGUAUCGUCGGCUCGUUGCAAUUUGCUAAUCUUAUCUAUCAUGCGCUGAUCGCCGUAAAUAGCGAGGAAAGAGAUGCGCAGUUCUCGUUGCGAAUUAUGCAUGCUAAAUUCGCGCGAUCAAACGUGAUGAGUCGAUAAUUAGACGUGGACUCCUUGGACGAUCACCAAUUCGCGUCAACGGACGUCGGCGAGUGCGUAUGAGUAUAUAGCGAAUACAUAUAAGUCGCGCAUCCGGUCUAAUGUUUAUCGGCUUUCACAGUCGAUUCAAAAACAUCGAGAUUUACGUAACAUCUUAUUGUGCGAGCGCGCGACGUUGAAACUUCCUCGGAAUAUAUAUUUCACAGCGAAGAGAUAACGGUAUCAAGCGAUUGAACGAUCGAUAAUUCGAUAUAUAAUUUCUAUGUGCAAUUGCGUUUUCUAAAUAAACAAUUCUUCGCUAUGAGAUCCUGUGAUAAAGAUUUUCCUUAUUUAUAUAACACGUUUGUAGACAGCUUGUCGUGAAGACAAAGUUUUUACACAGAAUGUUUUAAAUGUGUGAAGGAACUCGAUGAGGCUCUAAAUUUUGAUUUUAGGACUAUUCGAAUGAGAUGGCAUUUAUUUCGACAAAAUCAACACACACCUUGGCUUUGAAACAUCAAAAUCAUGAACCUUGAUUUCGUACAAUGUAUGAAAUGUCUUUGUGAUGGUAUAAUUGCGAGAAUAAAUACAAAUAUUUAGUAUGUGUGGAAUGUGUGGAAUUUAAAGAGAUUAAAAUUUACUGGAAUAGGAUGAAAAUACUGGAAAAAUACUGGAAUUUACUGGAAUAGAAUGAAAAUAUUUACGAAACUUGUAAUCGUGAUUGACUCGUGGAUUACUUUGUAAAUAAGACGAUAUCUCGAAAUACUUUCUAUACUUAUUGAUGUAUGUAAACAUCGAUCUGUAGUUCGCUGUCUCUUUUCCUUAUAUAAAUAUUUAUUUCAUUGUGCACUGGACACUAUGUAGAUGCAACAAUUAUAUCGCUUUUGAUGUUGGAUUUCUGAUAUUGUCUUUGGAAUCUUUGAGUUAAGCAAGAUUGCUUUGACAGUGUUAAUAAAAUUAUUUCUCAGAAGAUUAUAAUUAUUGCAAAUGCCUCUGGAG